This 451-nucleotide RNase P RNA is filed under the name Azoarcus sp. RNAcentral describes it as "RNase P RNA component class A". The stretch from base 57 to 451 matches the Rfam family "Bacterial RNase P class A". Rfam says of the family: Ribonuclease P (RNase P) is a ubiquitous endoribonuclease, found in archaea, bacteria and eukarya as well as chloroplasts and mitochondria. Its best characterised activity is the generation of mature 5'-ends of tRNAs by cleaving the 5'-leader elements of precursor-tRNAs. Cellular RNase Ps are ribonucleoproteins. The record is from RNAcentral. Lineage: Bacteria; Pseudomonadati; Pseudomonadota; Betaproteobacteria; Rhodocyclales; Zoogloeaceae.
GUAGCGCCGUGGCAAUCCAUGCGGCGGUUCAAUUUCCUGGAGCGCCGAUACAAUCUGAACCGCCUUCUGGGCAGUCCGCGAUACUUCGCUUGCGAGGAAUGACAAAAAACAUUCCGGCUUCGGAUGGUGUCGGCAUCUGAACCGAAAACGCUCUAAUGGCCGGGCACCGCGAGGUGACGGAAAGUGCAACAGAAAACAAACCGCCGAUGGCCCGCGCAAUGCGGGAUCAGGCAAGGGUGAAAUGGCGGGGUAAAAGCCCACCGCGGGGCUGGUGACAGUCCCGGCACGGCAAACCCCAUCUGGGGCAAGGCCAAAUAGGGGGGCAUGACGUGGCUCGCGCCGCCUCUGGGUAGGCCGCUGGAGCACCACGGCAACGUGGUGCCAAGAUGAAUGAUUGCCCGGUGUCCUUCGGGACAUUCGACAGAACCCGGCUUAUCGGCGAACUUCCCGU